RNAcentral lists this ribosomal RNA (466 nucleotides) under uncultured bacterium. RNAcentral describes it as "partial 16S ribosomal RNA". It matches the Rfam family "Bacterial small subunit ribosomal RNA", at positions 28 to 507 of the family's 1533-position model. The record is from RNAcentral.
GAUGAACGCUGGCGGCGUGCUUAACACAUGCAAGUCGAACGGAAAGGCCCAAGCUUGCUUGGGUACUCGAGUGGCGAACGGGUGAGUAACACGUGGGUGAUCUGCCCUGCACUUCGGGAUAAGCCUGGGAAACUGGGUCUGAUACCGGAUAGGACCACAUUUUGGAUGGUGUGGUGGAAAGUUUUUCGGUGUGGGAUGAGCUCGCGGCCUAUCAGCUUGUUGGUGGGGUAAUGGCCUACCAAGGCGUCGACGGGUAGCCGGCCUGAGAGGGUGUACGGCCACAUUGGGACUGAGAUACGGCCCAGACUCCUACGGGAGGCAGCAGUGGGGAAUAUUGCACAAUGGGCGCAAGCCUGAUGCAGCGACGCCGCGUGGGGGAUGACGGCCUUCGGGUUGUAAACUCCUUUCGCUAGGGACGAAGCGUUAUGUGACGGUACCUGGAGAAGAAGCACCGGCUAACUACGUG